UUAAGGAAGCUCAGUUGGACGCCGUCUUUUCCUUAUGCGUUAUUCCACGGCACUGUUCGGCAUAUUCAUUAGAGCAUUCUUUCCCUGAAUUAACCGCAAGAAGCUGAUAAAAUCAAGAAAAGCCUAGUACUCACAUUGACGAAAGCCGCAAGCAAACCAUAAGAGUGAGCGAGAGGGAAAUAGGCAGCUAACGCUUUACGU
Drosophila suzukii is the source of this 201-nucleotide non-coding RNA. The record is from RefSeq and is a predicted model, not a curated record. Lineage: Eukaryota; Metazoa; Arthropoda; Insecta; Diptera; Drosophilidae.